This 326-nucleotide ribosomal RNA is filed under the name uncultured Candidatus Sumerlaeota bacterium. RNAcentral describes it as "bacterial SSU rRNA". It matches the Rfam family "Bacterial small subunit ribosomal RNA", at positions 29 to 351 of the family's 1533-position model. The record is from RNAcentral. Lineage: Bacteria; Candidatus Sumerlaeota.
AACGAACGCUGGCGGCGUGGAUUAGGCAUGCAAGUCGAGCGAGAAAGGGGUAGCAAUACCCUGAGUAAAGCGGCGAACUGGUGAGUAACAGGUGGGCAACGUUCCCUGAAGUGGGGGAUAACACCGGGAAACCGGUGCUAAUACCGCAUGUGGCCCUAAGGACCAUGGUCCCAAGGGUUAAAGCAGUAGUGCGCUUCUGGAUCGGCCCGCCCUGAUUAGCUAGUUGGUGAGGUAACGGCUCACCAAGGCUACGAUCAGUAGCUGGUCUGAGAGGAUGGUCAGCCACACUGGGACUGAGAUACGGCCCAGACUCCUACGGGAGGCAG